GAUGAACGCUGGCGGCGUGCCUAAUACAUGCAAGUCGAGCGAACGGACGAGAAGCUUGCUUUUCUGAUGUUAGCGGCGGACGGGUGAGUAACACGUGGAUAACCUACCUAUAAGACUGGGAUAACUUCGGGAAACCGGAGCUAAUAACGGAUAAUAUUUUGAACCGCAUGGUUCAAAAGUGAAAGACGGUAUUGCUGUCACUUAUAGAUGGAUCCGCGCUGCAUUAGCUAGUUGGUAAGGUAACGGCUUACCAAGGCAACGAUGCAUACACGACCCGAGAGGGUGGUCGGCCAGACGGGAACAGAGACACGGUCCAGACUCCUACAGGGGGCAGCGGUAGGGAAUCUUCCGCGAUGGGGGAGAGCCUGACGGAGCAACGCCGCGGGAGGGAUGAAGGUCUUCGGAUCGUAAAACUCUGUUAGUAGGAGAGAACAAAUGUGUAAUUAACUGUGCAGAUCUUGACGGUACCGAAUCAGAAAGCCACGGCUAACUACGUG
This 497-nucleotide ribosomal RNA is filed under the name uncultured bacterium. Its description in RNAcentral is "partial 16S ribosomal RNA". It matches the Rfam family "Bacterial small subunit ribosomal RNA", at positions 28 to 507 of the family's 1533-position model. The record is from RNAcentral.